CCCCCCUUCUUUCCUGCUUUUCUUUCUCUCUCAUAUAUAAAGAGAGAGAAAGAAAAGCAGGAAAGAAGGGGGGA
Molecule: non-coding RNA, 74 nt
Organism: Podarcis lilfordi (Lilford's wall lizard)
Lineage: Eukaryota; Metazoa; Chordata; Lepidosauria; Squamata; Lacertidae
Source: the annotation of a GenBank genome assembly